This 592-nucleotide unclassified non-coding RNA is filed under the name Hevea brasiliensis (rubber tree). Lineage: Eukaryota; Viridiplantae; Streptophyta; Magnoliopsida; Malpighiales; Euphorbiaceae. The record is from RNAcentral.
UAUUUUGAUUUUUGUUAUGUUUAUUAUAUAUAAAAAGAGUAAUAUCUGUGAAAUUGAUUCCAACUUCAUUUUAGAAACAAGAAAUUUAAGAAAAAUCAAAAUAAUUAAUUCUUUAGACUGCGAAACAGGUCAGUCUGAAAAGGAAAAAUGUCUAAGCACCUAAACUAUUAGACGUAAUACGAAAGCAGUGCACCUGUUGCCUCUAGAAACUAAUUCUACAUAACCCCUACCAAAAUACCCUAAAAAAAAGAGAAGGAAGAGACCUGAGACCUUUCAUAAAAACCACCAAAGAUUUGUACAAAGUUCCUACUACCUCAAAACUCAAUUAUAAUUUGCACAAUGGUUGGAAAGGGAGGAUCAUUUAUAGGUCACCAGCACGGAGUUGAUGACAUGCAAGAGAACACGGAUGGUUGAGAGCUCAACACCAGUGAUCGUAGGUGAGCUCCGUUGAUGGUGUAGGAUCUGAGAUACUUGAUCAAAGAUAGGCCGCACGUGCAUUGCAAUCAUAUGGUCUGCUGGGUUUAUGGGCGCCUGCCACAUCUGUCAUCCACACCAGCUUUCGAGCUGUAUCCUUGCUAACAUCACAGGCCAA